This is a non-coding RNA of Cyprinodon variegatus (sheepshead minnow), 483 nucleotides long. The record is from the annotation of a RefSeq genome assembly. Lineage: Eukaryota; Metazoa; Chordata; Actinopteri; Cyprinodontiformes; Cyprinodontidae.
UCUUUGCUCACAUCCUUUUACAGAAUGACUCUGCUGGUUCUGCUCAUUGCAGCAGGUGUAAACUGUCAGCAACUCACUGCAGCAAAGACUGAAGAGUUCAGUCUAGAAGGCAGCUCUGUUACUCUGUCCUACAGUUACUCCAAUAAGAUAACUGCUAGUGAUGAUUUCUUCUGGUAUCAACAGUAUCCAGGAAAACCUCCAGAGUUCAUCAUGCACAUCUCAGGGCUCAACCGUCCAAGAUCUGCAGAUAAUCUGAAAUCAGCAUCAAGAUUCUCCACUAAACUGAGAGAAGAGAAACACCUGGACCUGCUGAUCUCCUCUGCUGAGCUGACAGACUCUGCUGUGUACUACUGUGCUGUGAGGCCCACAGUGACAGGAAACACCAGAACUCUGUACAAGAACCUGCAAUACUGCACUACAUCCACUAGAGGGUCUCACACACUGUUAACCCCACUGAUCUCUAUUCAUUCACUUGACUGCUGA